AUACUGACCUUACAGGGAGAUACCAUGAUCAGAGGUGGUUCUCCCAGGGCGAGGCUUCUACACUGCACUCCAGAUGUGCUGACCCCUGUGAUUUUCCCAAAUGUGGGAAACUCAACGGCAUAAUUGUGUUUGUGGGGGACUGUGCUGGUGCUCUGCUCUA
Small nuclear RNA from Molossus molossus (Pallas's mastiff bat), 160 nucleotides. RefSeq annotates it as U1 spliceosomal RNA. The record is from RefSeq and is a predicted model, not a curated record. The transcript has a single exon. NCBI's taxonomy places the organism in Eukaryota, Metazoa, Chordata, Mammalia, Chiroptera, Molossidae.